This 218-nucleotide ribosomal RNA is filed under the name Talaromyces minioluteus. Its description in RNAcentral is "partial 28S large subunit ribosomal RNA". It matches the Rfam family "Eukaryotic large subunit ribosomal RNA", at positions 3182 to 3399 of the family's 3401-position model. The record is from RNAcentral. Lineage: Eukaryota; Fungi; Ascomycota; Eurotiomycetes; Eurotiales; Trichocomaceae.
UCGUAGUUGGAUAUUAUUUGGUCUCCGGGCACGCACCUCAGCAGGCUGGCGACGUCGCCCCGGGUUAUACCCUGGGGCGCUGGCUGGCGGAUUGUAAUGUCACCACGCGCGGGGAUUAAUCCUCUGCAGACGACUGACGUGACCAAGCGGGUCGUGUACGCGGUCGAGUAGCCUAGUUGUUACGAGUCGCUGAGCGUCAGCCGACCUUGGCUCGAUUU